This 201-nucleotide ribosomal RNA is filed under the name Staphylococcus chromogenes. Its description in RNAcentral is "partial 23S ribosomal RNA". It matches the Rfam family "Bacterial large subunit ribosomal RNA", at positions 1134 to 1339 of the family's 2925-position model. The record is from RNAcentral. Lineage: Bacteria; Bacillati; Bacillota; Bacilli; Caryophanales; Staphylococcaceae.
GUAAUAGCUCACUAGUCGAGUGACACUGCGCCGAAAAUGUACCGGGGCUAAACAUAUUACCGAAGCUGUGGAUUGUCCUUUAGGCCACUGGUAGGAGAGCGUUCUACGGGCGUUGAAGCAUGUUCGCCAGGACAUGUGGAGCGCCUCGACGUGAGAAUGCCGGUGUGAGUAGCGAAAGACGGGUGAGAAUCCCGUCCACCG